UACGGAGGGAGCUAGCGUUGUUCGGAAUUACUGGGCGUAAAGCGCGCGUAGGCGGCUUUGUAAGUUAGAGGUGAAAGCCCGGGGCUCAACCCCGGAACUGCCUUUAAGACUGCAUCGCUUGAAUCCAGGAGAGGUGAGUGGAAUUCCGAGUGUAGAGGUGAAAUUCGUAGAUAUUCGGAAGAACACCAGUGGCGAAGGCGGCUCACUGGACUGGUAUUGACGCUGAUGUGCGAAAGCGUGGGGAGCAAACAGG
This 253-nucleotide ribosomal RNA is filed under the name uncultured bacterium. RNAcentral's name for it is "partial 16S ribosomal RNA". It matches the Rfam family "Bacterial small subunit ribosomal RNA", at positions 524 to 776 of the family's 1533-position model. The record is from RNAcentral.